This 434-nucleotide ribosomal RNA is filed under the name uncultured bacterium. RNAcentral's name for it is "partial 16S ribosomal RNA". It matches the Rfam family "Bacterial small subunit ribosomal RNA", at positions 29 to 507 of the family's 1533-position model. The record is from RNAcentral.
AGCGAACGCUGGCGGUAGGCCUAACACAUGCAAGUCGAACGAACCUUCCGUGGUUAGUUGCGGACGCGUGAGUAACACGUCGGAACGUUCCUUUAUACUCCGGAUUAUACAUGUUAACGUGUGCUAAUACCGAGUGUGUCACUCUGAUGCAAGAUUUAACGUCUGUAGAACGGCCGGCGUCUGUUUAGCCAGUUGGUUGUGGUAAUGGCUCAGCAAGGCUACGAUCAGUAGCUGGUCUAAGAGGAUGAUCAGCCACAUCGGUACUGAGACACAGCCCAAACUACUACGGGAGGCAGCAGUGGGGAAUCUAGCGAAAUGGGCGAAAGCAUGACGCAGCCAUGCCGCGUGAAUGAUGAAGGUCUGAGGAUUGUGAAAUUCUUUAACAGGGGACGAUAAUGACGGUACCCGGAGAAGAAGCACCGGCUAACUUCGUG